Molecule: non-coding RNA, 30 nt
Filed under: Rattus norvegicus (Norway rat)
Lineage: Eukaryota; Metazoa; Chordata; Mammalia; Rodentia; Muridae
Source: RNAcentral
UGCCCACACUUCCUGUUCCAGGAUCAGAUA